GCACCCGCGGUAAUUCCAGCUCCAAUAGCGUAUAUUAAAGUUGUUGCAGUUAAAAAGCUCGUAGUUGGAUUUCUGCGAGGGUGCCAAUGUCCGCCGACGCGCGUGCGCAGCGGCGCCCUCGCAUCCUUCUGUUACCACCUCUCGGCAUUCACUUGCCGGUGGUCGGCUCAGAGAAUUUACCUUGAGAAAAUUAGAGUGUUUCAGGCAGGCUAGGCCGGAAUACAUUAGCAUGGAAUAAUGGAAUAGGACUACGGUCUCGUUGUUGGUUUGAGGGACUGCAGUAAUGAUUAAUAGGGAUAGUUGGGGGCAUUAGUAUUUAACUGUCAGAGGUGAAAUUCUCAGAUUUGUUAAAGACUAACUUAUGCGAAAGCAUUUGCCAAGGAUGUUUUCAUCAAUCAAGAACGAAAGU
Molecule: ribosomal RNA, 409 nt
Filed under: uncultured eukaryote
Lineage: Eukaryota
Description: SSU rRNA
Rfam family: Eukaryotic small subunit ribosomal RNA
Source: RNAcentral